CGUGAGGGAAAGGUGAAAAGCACCCCGGGAGGGGAGUGAAACAGUACCUGAAACCGUGCGCCCACGAGCAGUCGGAGCAACUUUACGUUGUGACGGCGUGCCUUUUGUAGAAUGAGCCAGCGAGUCGCUGGCGCGGGGCGAGGUUAACCGAAAGGGAGCCGGAGCGAAAGCGAGCCUUAACAGGGCGACUUGAGUCCCGCGCCGCGGACGCGAAGCCGGGUGAGCUAUCCGUGGGCAGGCUGAAGCGGGGGUAAGACCCCGUGGAGGGCCGAACGCACGUCGGUUGAAAACGGCGGCGAUGACCUGCGGAUAGGGGUGAAAGGCCAAUCAAACCCGGAGAUAUCUCGUUCUCCCCGAAAUAGCUUUAGGGCUAGCGUCGCGCGUUCACCGCCGGAGGUAGAGCACCGGAUGGACGAGGGGGCUUCGCCGCCUACCGAAUCCAACCGAACUCCGAAUGCCGGCGGCCCAGAGCGCGGCAGUCAGAGCAUGUGGGCUAAGCUGUGUGCUCGAGAGGGAAACAGCCCGGACCGCCCGCUAAGGUCCCCAAGUUCCAGCCGAGUGGCAAAGGAUGUGCGUCCGCCCAGACAACCAGGAUGUUGGCUUAGAAGCAGCCAUCCAUUCAAAGAGUGCGUAACAGCUCACUGGUCGAGUGGACAUGCGCCGACAAUACACGGGGCUAAGCUGGACACCGAAGCGGCGGGAUUUUAAUUCAUUAGAAUCGGUAGGGGAGCUUCCCAUGGGCGGAGAAGCCGGAGGGCGACCGACGGUGGAGCGCAUGGGAGUGAGAAUGCUGGCAUGAGUAGCGAGAGACGAGAGAGUAACUCGUCCGCCGUGAACCCGAGGUUUCCUGGGCAAGGCUAAUCCUCCCAGGGUCAGUCGGGGGCUAAGGCGAGGCCGGGAGGCGUAGCCGACGCGCAGCAGGCAGACAUUCCUGCACCGCGCACGCGGCGCUACGACCGACGGGGCGACGGAUGGGGGUGGCUCGGCGGGGUUCUGGACGUCCCCGUGAUGGAGCGCGGCCCGCGGACCAGGGAAAUCCGGUCCGCAGAAGGGCGAGGCUCCGGACGAAGCACUUAAGCGAAGCGAGUGAGCCCGAGGUCCCUAGAAAAACCCCUAGGCAGGCGCGUGCGCGCCCGUACCGCAAACCGACACAGGUGGGUGGGUAGAACAUACCGAGGCGAUCGGGUCAACCAUGGUCAAGGAACUCGGCACAAUGGCCCCGUAACUUCGGGAGAAGGGGUGCCCGCGCGUACGUGAACCGGCUUGCCCGGGGAGCGGAGGCGGGCCGCAGUGGAGAGGCCCAAGCGACUGUUUACCAAAAACACAGGACUCUGCAGAAGCCGCAAGGCGACGUAUAGGGUCUGACGCCUGCCCGGUGCCGGAAGGUCACGCGGAGGAGUUAGCCGAUUCGGCGAAGCCCCGAAGCCAAGCCCCGGUAAACGGCGGCCGUAACUAUAACGGUCCUAAGGUAGCGAAAUUCCUUGUCGGGUAAGUUCCGACCUGCACGAAAGGCGCAACGACUUGGGCGCUGUCUCGACCAUGGACCCGGUGAAAUUGCACUGGUCGUGAAGAUGCGACUUACCCGCGGAAGGACGGAAAGACCCCGUGAACCUUCACUGCAGCUUGGCAUUGGCCGCUGGUCCCGCGUGUAGAGGAUAGGCAGGAGGCAUCGAUCCGGAGGCGCCAGCCCCCGGGGAGCCGCCCUUGGAAUACUGCCCUCGCGCGACCGGCGUCCUAACCCGAGGCCGUCAACCGGCUCGGGGACCGUGCCAGGCGGGCAGUUUGACUGGGGCGGUCGCCUCCUAAAGGGUAACGGAGGCGCGCGAAGGUCCGCUCGGGACGGUCGGCAACCGUCCUUUUGAAUGCAAGAGUACAAGCGGGCUUGACUGCGAGGCCCACAAGCCGAGCAGGUGCGAAAGCAGGCUCUAGUGAUCCGGCGGCC
RNAcentral lists this ribosomal RNA (1942 nucleotides) under human gut metagenome. RNAcentral's name for it is "bacterial LSU rRNA". It matches the Rfam family "Bacterial large subunit ribosomal RNA", at positions 502 to 2428 of the family's 2925-position model. The record is from RNAcentral.